This is a non-coding RNA of Sesamum indicum (sesame), 1411 nucleotides long. The record is from RefSeq and is a predicted model, not a curated record. NCBI's taxonomy places the organism in Eukaryota, Viridiplantae, Streptophyta, Magnoliopsida, Lamiales, Pedaliaceae.
CAUCCUCCACGUGGCAACUGCUGACCGGGCACGCUGCCCCCUAACGGUCCUCCCAAUUCCAUGGAGCUGCUGCUUCUCUGCCUCACACUCUUCCAUUCAGACACCAAAGCGCACAGUUUAGGAACUGUUGGAAUAUGGAGUGUAAGAUGGUCAGUUCUGCCGUGCAACCUUGCUUAGCCAGGAUGGAUAUGAAGAGAAUUGACGGAUUUCAAGUCAAGAUGGCUGUUUUCAGUGGAAAAAGAUUGAACAAACUGAAUCGGGUUUUGAUUGAAAAUCCUGUUCAUUAUGAACGUUGGAGAGUGUUUUGUAACCCUAUUAGUUUGGAGGAGGAAUUCUCAGCAAUACAGAAUUUCUCCAAGGACGAGGGUUCUGGCUACGAGAUUAGCGCGGAAGAGGACCUUGAAGGACCACCUAGUAGUGAAGAGUUGAAGGCAUUGCUUGCUGAUUCACAACGAUCAAAGCUCAUCAAGAAACUGAGUGAAGCAAAUCAACAGAACCGGCUUCUUAAGCGCCAGUUACAAGCAAAGGAUCAUGCACUAGUUAGUUUCAAGCGCGAACUUGCCAUCAUAGACCAGGAGAUUAAGGCUCUGGUUCGUCUGGCAGAAGAAAUUUCUAGUUACAGUAUUCCGGAUGGUUCGAGAAAGAUUAAUGGGAAAUACGUUCAGUCUCAUCUUCUCUCACGGUUGGAAGGUAGCUGUUUCAUUCACCAUCUUUGUAUAUAUCUUCUCCUAAGUGAACUCUUGUGGUCCCUUGAUGAUUGCCAGAGCUAUCCUAGAAAAGUGCGCGCAACAGAUCAAGGAUGUCAAUGCUGCACAAGCACAAGCCGUUCAUUUAUUCUGGAAUGGCGUGGCAGAGAACGUGCAAGUAAUGGGCUCCUUUGACGGCUGGAGUCAAGGAGAACACAUGUCACCGGAGUAUAAUGGUUCAUACGCAACAUUCUCAGCGACGCUGAUGCUUAGACCUGGAAGGUAUGAAAUCAAAUUCUUGGUAGAUGGGGACUGGAAACUAUCGCCUGAAUUUCCAACCGUUGGUGAGGGGAUGUUGCAGAACAAUUUACUGAUAGUUGAUUAGCGUCAGUCUGCUGAUUUGCUCGAUUGAGGUGUUAGAUUGCUUCUAGAUGUUACCUGUUUUCUCUGUAAGUGGAGAAGAGGCAGGAUAAUAAAGAUGGGGUUAUUUUCGUUUCAUAUAGGUAUAGUGAAGCUCUCCUUGUUUUGUGCUGAGAUUUUGGAACUUGAGACAGCAUAGUACUUGUAUAGGUCACUGAUGUUGCUGCUCGCUUCUGUGUCUGGAUGAGUAUCUCUUGAGACUUGAAGCCUGGAAAUUCAAUAAGAACAUUCAAGUUCAUUACUGAUACAAUAUAUUUCUGUGAAACGGUAGCUGACGGGCUCUGGUUAGACCUUCGAUCAUUUUA